UGAGGAAUAUUGGUCAAUGGACGGAAGUCUGAACCAGCCAAGUAGCGUGCAGGAUGACGGCCCUAUGGGUUGUAAACUGCUUUUGUAUGGGGAUAAAGUUAGGGACGCGUCCCUAUUUGCAGGUACCAUACGAAUAAGGACCGGCUAAUUCCGUGCCAGCAGCCGCGGUAAUACGGAAGGUCCAGGCGUUAUCCGGAUUUAUUGGGUUUAAAGGGAGCGUAGGCUGGAGAUUAAGUGUGUUGUGAAAUGUAGACGCUCAACGUCUGAAUUGCAGCGCAUACUGGUUUCCUUGAGUACGCACAACGUUGGCGGAAUUCGUCGUGUAGCGGUGAAAUGCUUAGAUAUGACGAAGAACUCCGAUUGCGAAGGCAGCUGACGGGAGCGCAACUGACGCUUAAGCUCGAAGGUGCGGGUAUCAAACAGGAUUAGAUACCCUGGUAGUCCGCACAGUAAACGAUGGAUGCCCGCUGUUGGUACCUGGUAUCAGCGGCUAAGCGAAAGCAUUAAGCAUCCCACCUGGGGAGUACGCCGGCNACGGU
This 539-nucleotide ribosomal RNA is filed under the name uncultured bacterium. RNAcentral describes it as "bacterial SSU rRNA". It matches the Rfam family "Bacterial small subunit ribosomal RNA", at positions 355 to 895 of the family's 1533-position model. The record is from RNAcentral.